UCGGACCACCAUACCGGGGGGGAAACACCCGGUCCCAUUCCGAACCCGGAAGUUAAGCCCCCCAGGGCCGAUGAUAGCCUCGCCCCGAGCGAGGUGAAAGUAGGUCGUGGUCCGGG
This 116-nucleotide ribosomal RNA is filed under the name Thermus sp. The record is from RNAcentral. Lineage: Bacteria; Thermotogati; Deinococcota; Deinococci; Thermales; Thermaceae. RNAcentral also lists the same sequence under 1 other name.